UAGAGACGGAUAGCAACCACGUGAUCAGUAAAAAUCGUGUAUAUUCACGUGAAUUUAUUUUCCGGAAUUCCGUACACCGUCAUAGAGUAGUUGAAAAACAUAAAGGGGUUCCGAAAGUACAAGUUGUUGCUGUGACUGACUCGAUGAUUGAGGGGGUCGUCUCGACGAAAGAUAGAGACAGUUGGCCAUAGUUUAGAUUAGGAAUACGUCAAUGUAAUAAUAGUGGACCAAAUGUUUCGUCUGUGCAGAAUGGCACUUUUUACCUCACGACCAUGCAUAGCUGCGCUACGUAAACAAUUUUACAAAGUUGUUGAUGUAGCGUGAUCGUGAUGUCCGACUCCGAGUGCUGCGAGUUUCAAUACUGUUUAUGUAGUCAUUGAGAGUUUAAACAAAGUUUCUUCUGAGAAGAGGAAUUCGAUGGAUGCAUUCAACGUGGACAACGAGAUUAUAAUUUUGUUUGUGUCAUCCUAAGGACCAGUGCAAGUUGAAAUGGGCUUCGAGUCAACAACUUCAACAGCAAUUUGCCUUGAAAAUCAGCAAGAAAGGUACUUCAUUUACAUUGAUGAUGUCAUAUCCCCUGGACCCCACAACUUUACAGGUUACAGAGAAAAUUCAAGAACUUCUGCACAAUGUGGGAGAUGGAUAGAAUCAAUAAUGUAUUUGUGAGCCCAGAUAUAUUGUGCAACAUACUAAAGUGUGAAUUUAAUUGAAAACAAGUACAUGUACUCAUGUAUACUAUUAUAUGUCUUUCUUAAAGACAAUAAUAUUACAUAAAUGUAGAUGAAGUGUCAUUGUUGAUUAUUCUAAGUUUUUGAUAUAUCAAAAUCAGUAAACAUUUCUAAAUGAAAAUAAAAUACCAAUUUUAUAACUUUUAA
Molecule: long non-coding RNA, 875 nt
Organism: Ostrea edulis (European flat oyster)
Lineage: Eukaryota; Metazoa; Mollusca; Bivalvia; Ostreida; Ostreidae
Exons: 3
Source: RefSeq, a predicted model, not a curated record